CUAGGGUGGUGCUAGGGGUUAGGGACUCAAUACUGCACAUAGAUCACUAGGGUGGUGCUAGGGGGUUAGGGACUCAAUACAGCACAUAGAUCACUAGGGUGGUGCUAGGGGGUUAGGGACUCAAUACAGCACAUAGAUCACUAGGGUGGUGCUAGAGGGUUAGGGACUCAAUACAGCACAUAGAUCACUAGGGUGGUGCUAGGGGGUUAGGGACUCAAUACAGCACAUAGAUCACUAGGGUGGUGCUAGGGGGUUAGGGACUCAAUACAGCACAUAGAUCACUAGGGUGGUGCUAGGGGGUUAGGGACUCAAUACAGCACAUAGAUCACUAGGGUGGUGCUAGGGGUUCAAGACUCAAUACUGCUUCCACCAGUCCAAUGAGCUCACAGUAUAAAGGGUAUAAAGAGAGGAGAAAAGGAAUUUGACUGUGGGCUAAGGUUCAUAACAGGGGUGAUGUGUGUGGAAUUUGACUGUGGGCUAAGGUUCAUAACAGGGGUGAUGUGUGUGGAAUUUGACUGUGGGCUAAGGUUCAUAACAGGGGUGAUGUGUGUGGAAUUUGACUGUGGGCUAAGGUUCAUAACAGGGGUGAUGUGUGUGGAAUUUGACUGUGGGCUAAGGUUCAUAACAGGGGUGAUGUGUGUGGAAUUUGACUGUGGGCUAAGGUUCAUAACAGGGGUGAUGUGUGUGGAAUUUGACUGUGGGCUAAGGUUCAUAACAGGGGUGAUGUGUGUGGAAUUUGACUGUGGGCUAAGGUUCAUAACAGGGGUGAUGUGUGUGGAAUUUGACUGUGGGCUAAGGUUCAUAACAGGGGUGAUGUGUGUGGAAUUUGACUGUGGGCUAAGGUUCAUAACAGGGGUGAUGUGUGUGGAAUUUGACUGUGGGCUAAGGUUCAUAACAGGGGUGAUGUGUGUGGAAUUUGACUGUGGGCUAAGGUUCAUAACAGGGGUGAUGUGUGUGGAAUUUGACUGUGGGCUAAGGUUCAUAACAGGGGUGAUGUGUGUGG
Molecule: long non-coding RNA, 1003 nt
Organism: Oncorhynchus keta (chum salmon)
Lineage: Eukaryota; Metazoa; Chordata; Actinopteri; Salmoniformes; Salmonidae
Exons: 4
Source: RefSeq, a predicted model, not a curated record